This is a long non-coding RNA of Scophthalmus maximus (turbot), 594 nucleotides long. RefSeq lists it as uncharacterized. The transcript has 3 exons. The record is from RefSeq and is a predicted model, not a curated record. Lineage: Eukaryota; Metazoa; Chordata; Actinopteri; Pleuronectiformes; Scophthalmidae.
UGCAAAGUGAGUACCGAUGUGUGUUCUGUGCAGCGGGUCACAUGUUAAUAUGUCGUGGCUGGGAUUGCUCAACUUGCUGUGGUUCCUCUCCGUGGCAGUAAAUUAGAUUUUUCGCAAUUAGGAUAUUGCAGCAAAAUACCCAGAAACAAAACUACCUUCAACUCGAUGUGGAUGAAAUACAAAUUUAUUCAGGGGAAGAAAUGAAAGUAUCACUCCAGGGCCACAUCACAAUGUCUUUCCUCAGCAUCAUGUGAUGCCUCCCGUCUCACCAUGUGAUGCUUCGGCGCCCUCCUUUUUCACUGGGCUACUAUCUCACAGAGAUAACAUCAAGUCUUCAGUUAGAAAAAUGAUGAACACAUUCCCACGACUCUGGUGAGCUGAAUACGAGCAUUGUCACAGACUGUGGCCUGCAUCAAGUGUGACUUCAGACCACGCAUGGCUUUUCUUUUCAGGUCCCCACCACUUCCCAUAUUUGCUCAAGCUGCUCAGGAAACAUCGAUGGGUGCUGCUGUGGACUGCCAGCCAGAAGCUCCGAGAUACACAAACCACAGAGGGAACAGGAAGUGAUGGCCUGGUGAGGAUGAGUUGUGUGUG